Molecule: non-coding RNA, 2007 nt
Organism: Neurospora crassa OR74A
Lineage: Eukaryota; Fungi; Ascomycota; Sordariomycetes; Sordariales; Sordariaceae
Source: RefSeq, a predicted model, not a curated record
AAGGCCUCAACAACCCCCUCCGCAUCAAGUCACGCUCGCGUAACUCUGGAUUCAGCCAAGAACGCAACCAAAGGAAUUCUAGCACAACCAUCAUCUCCUUUCCUGCGUUUGCCGAUGGAGACUAAGCUCGCGAUUCAUCAGUAUCCCUAAACAGUCGACCUUAAAGCAGACACGUAUCAAUGGCGGCGGGUUGAUCGUCGGUAGGCUGAUGAGUGCGAGUCGGUUCUACUACACAAAGAUCUGGAAGACCAGCUCAAAGCGCUACACACGUUGGCUUCCACCUGCAAGGAAUCCUGGAGGGACACCUACUAGGUGUUAUCGUCAUUCGCAGUCAGUCCCAUAUCCAGUUUUGGCAUGAGCCUCACUGAAGAGGGCAAGACCCAGAGACCAUAUUCCAGAUCCGUCGCUUGAAAACUUCCAGCUGUAGGUUCUUCUUGGAAACAACCUUCAACUUGUUUUGAUGCGUUAGAAACCGAUCUUCAAGCUCGAGUUUAUCAAAUGGCUUGCGAUCCUCGAACAGCUACAGUCGCUGGAGAUCUGUUCUCCCUAGAGCCCUACCAAACAUGGAAUGGGAUCCAUUGCACUAGAAUCAUCUGAGGCUGCCAAUUUGCUAUUGUCAUCACCAGCGACAAGACGCCAUUUUGUCUCUCCCACGGAUUCAAAAGCUUGCCCUCAGUGCAGAGACACGACGAUACCUAUAGUUAGUUGAGACGACUUUCAAGACUUUAUACAAGUUGUAUCUUAGAAGCUCGGGCUUACGUCUGCGAUACGUCGUCCUCUCCUUUUCUUGCCCGGCGCAAUUUUCUCGGUUGGGUCGUUAACCUCGAACCUGUCGACUGUUAUAGAGGAAGAGGGACAGAAGACGCACAAGAUCGAUUACAUUAACUGCUUGAUCCCUGAUUCAAGUGUACCAGAAAUAGUUGUAAGGUUCGACGUUGACAACAUAGAAAUCUCCCCGAAAUUCUCGCCAUAAAUAGGUAGUCCACCCAUCAUCUUACCCCUUUCCCUGUGCCUCAGUUGAUGCUCCAGACCUUCGUGUGACAAGUUCAAAAAUGUCCUUCUUCGGUUGACCCGGGCUCAUUCUCUAUAGUUCAAAGUACAUCAAUGGCUUACACAAGUGUGCGCGUGUUAGCGCAGCAACUGACACUCAAGGGGUUGAGUACAGGAAACGGAAGAGCGAAACAGCGGGAGCAGAGGAGACACUCGAAUAUAACUUCACCUUCAACUACUAGUUGAUUAGCUCGGUCCCCUAAAAUGUUACACCUAGUGUCAUCUUCCUAAUCUAUCUUUACCUAACAUUGUGACGAUACUACAACCCUGCUGUUGCUAUUCUCUUCAUGUGUCAGGGCAGAUAUUCCCUAAUUAGCCAGUCAUUGUAUGUUCACUCACUUAGUCUCCAUCCAUUCCCUGCCCUCUUUCAACUUUCCAUGUUAUCGCACGAUCCUCGGUAGUAAUUCUUCCUAUUUUAUUACAGGCAAGUUCUCGUAGCGACGAGUUGAUUGGGUUGGCGCUUGGUUGGGACAAACAAAGGACGACCCCCUGACUUGGCUUUCCGGCGCCACCAAGGGGUAGCACAUGGCUUUGUCAGCAACAUUCCAGUUGUCUUUUGUGCCAAAGCUGCUUGGAGUUAUUAAAUGAUUGUGCUGCGCUACUGGUGCUGGUGGUUGGACACUUGGUUCUUCUUGAUUAUGGGAAAAUAUUCGUGGUCGGAUUCUUGGUUGCUACGAAAAAGAAAUCAACGUUCCUUUUACCCAAAUCACCCUAAGAAUCAGUUUCAAUCGUGUAGCCAUUUCCAAACGUGCUUUGCCUGCCGUAAUUCCUUUCCAGCUUUUAUAUGCUAAAACCUAUGUUCUCUGUACAACUUCCGGCUGCCACAUGGGGCUCAAAAAGGGGGAGGGGUGGUUCUGUGGCUAAAUAUUCUAGCAGAUUGGAUGAACUUGAUGAAGUGAACUGGGUAGAAGUACCUGCAUGUGGUUGUAUCUCCUCCCUCCCCCCCUCCUACGAACG